CAGCCGCCGCGGUAAUACGUAGGGCGCAAGCGUUGUCCGGAUUUAUUGGGCGUAAAGAGUUCGUAGGCGGUCUGUCGCGUCGGAAGUGAAAACCCGGAGCUCAACUCCGGGCCUGUUUUCGAUACGGGCAGACUUGAGUGUUGCAGGGGAGACUGGAAUUCCUGGUGUAGCGGUGGAAUGCGCAGAUAUCAGGAGGAACACCGGUGGCGAAGGCGGGUCUCUGGGCAACAACUGACGCUGAGGAACGAAAGCGUGGGGAGCGAACAGGAUUAGAUACCCUGGUAGUCCACGCUGUAAACGGUGGGCACUAGGUGUGGGGACCAUUCCACGGUCUCUGCGCCGCAGCUAACGCAUUAAGUGCCCCGCCUGGGGAGUACGGCCGCAAGGCUAAAACUCAAAGGAAUUGACGG
RNAcentral lists this ribosomal RNA (410 nucleotides) under uncultured bacterium. RNAcentral's name for it is "bacterial SSU rRNA". It matches the Rfam family "Bacterial small subunit ribosomal RNA", at positions 509 to 916 of the family's 1533-position model. The record is from RNAcentral.